Myotis brandtii (Brandt's bat) is the source of this 73-nucleotide non-coding RNA. Lineage: Eukaryota; Metazoa; Chordata; Mammalia; Chiroptera; Vespertilionidae. The record is from Rfam.
GCCCGUGUGGCUCAGUGGAUAGAGCAUCAGCCUGCAGACUGAAGGGUCCCGGGUUCAAUUCCGAGCAAGGGCA